UCCUUGGUACUGCUGUUAUCUGUGGCGAC
RNAcentral lists this small RNA (29 nucleotides) under Bombyx mori (domestic silkworm). RNAcentral's name for it is "ovarian small RNA-7433". The record is from RNAcentral. Lineage: Eukaryota; Metazoa; Arthropoda; Insecta; Lepidoptera; Bombycidae.